Molecule: ribosomal RNA, 494 nt
Filed under: uncultured bacterium
Lineage: Bacteria
Description: partial 16S ribosomal RNA
Rfam family: Bacterial small subunit ribosomal RNA
Source: RNAcentral
GACGAACGCUGGCGGCGUGCUUAACACAUGCAAGUCGAACGGUGAAGCGCCUUCCUUUUUGGUGGGUGUGGAUGAGUGGCGAACGGGUGAGUAACACGUGAGUAACCUGCCCCCUUCUUCUGGAUAACCGCAUGAAAGUGUGGCUAAUACGGGAUAUUCUGGUUCUGUCGCAUGAUGGGUCUGGGAAAGAUAUUGUUUCGGUGGGGGCUGGGCUCGCGGCCUAUCAGCUGGUUGGUGGGGUGAUGGCCUACCAAGGCGGUGACGGGUAGCCGGCCUGGGAGGGUGGACGGUCACACUGGGACUGAGGCACGGCCCAGACUCCUACGGGGGGCAGCAGUGGGGAAGAUUGCACAGUGGGCGCAAGCCUGAUGCAGCGGCGCCGCGUGAGGGAUGGAGGCGUGCGGGGUGUGAACCUCUUUCGCUAGUGAAGCAGGCCUGCCUCGUUUGUGGGUGGGUUGACGGUAGCGGGAGAAGAAGCGCCGGCUAACUACGUG